AUGAACGCUGGCGGCGUGCCUAAUACAUGCAAGUCGAGCGAACGGACGAGGAGCUUGCUUCUCUGAUGUUAACGGCGGACGGGUGAGUAACACGUGGAUAACCUACCUAUAAGACUGGGAUAACUUCGGGAAACCGGAGCUAAUACCGGAUAAUAUUUUGAACCGCAUGGUUCAAAAGUAAAAGACGGUCUUGCUGUCACUUAUAGAUGGAUCCGCGCUGCAUUAGCUAGUUGGUAAGGUAACGGCUUACCAAGGCAACGAUGCAUAGCCGACCUGAGGGGGUGAUCGGCCACACUGGAACUGAGACACGGUCCAGACUCCUACGGGAGGCAGCAGUAGGGAAUCUUCCGCAAUGGGCGAAAGCCUGACGGAGCAACGCCGCGUGAGUGAUGAAGGUCUUCGGAUCGUAAAACUCUGUUAUUAGGGAAGAACAUAUGUGUAAGUAACUGUGCACAUCUUGACGGUACCUAAUCAGAAAGCCACGGCUAACUACGUG
This 496-nucleotide ribosomal RNA is filed under the name uncultured bacterium. RNAcentral's name for it is "partial 16S ribosomal RNA". It matches the Rfam family "Bacterial small subunit ribosomal RNA", at positions 29 to 507 of the family's 1533-position model. The record is from RNAcentral.